RNAcentral lists this ribosomal RNA (121 nucleotides) under Petromyzon marinus (sea lamprey). The record is from RNAcentral. Lineage: Eukaryota; Metazoa; Chordata; Hyperoartia; Petromyzontiformes; Petromyzontidae.
CCUCAUUACCAAAUCACCCGGAAUGCGUCCGAUCUCAACAGAUCUCGGAAACUAAAGCAGGGCUGAGCCUGGUUGGUGCACGGAGGGGUGAUCACCAAGCAAUGAACUGCCGUUGUAGGCC